RNAcentral lists this ribosomal RNA (465 nucleotides) under Vreelandella stevensii. RNAcentral's name for it is "partial 16S ribosomal RNA". It matches the Rfam family "Bacterial small subunit ribosomal RNA", at positions 338 to 795 of the family's 1533-position model. Lineage: Bacteria; Pseudomonadati; Pseudomonadota; Gammaproteobacteria; Oceanospirillales; Halomonadaceae. The record is from RNAcentral.
CCUACGGGAGGCAGCAGUGGGGAAUAUUGGACAAUGGGGGGAACCCUGAUCCAGCCAUGCCGCGUGUGUGAAGAAGGCCCUCGGGUUGUAAAGCACUUUCAGUGAGGAAGAACGCCUGGUGGUUAAUACCCAUCAGGAAAGACAUCACUCACAGAAGAAGCACCGGCUAACUCCGUGCCAGCAGCCGCGGUAAUACGGAGGGUGCGAGCGUUAAUCGGAAUUACUGGGCGUAAAGCGCGCGUAGGUGGCUUGAUAAGCCGGUUGUGAAAGCCCCGGGCUCAACCUGGGAACGGCAUCCGGAACUGUCAGACUAGAGUGCAGGAGAGGAAGGUAGAAUUCCCGGUGUAGCGGUGAAAUGCGUAGAGAUCGGGAGGAAUACCAGUGGCGAAGGCGGCCUUCUGGACUGACACUGACACUGAGGUGCGAAAGCGUGGGUAGCAAACAGGAUUAGAUACUCCAGUAGUC